AGUAUAGAGACAAGACACAGGUUCAUUCAUCUCUCUUGGAACAAAAUGAAUGUGUUACCAUUCAUUUUGAAAAGGGACGAUGGGGUAAUGUAACCAUCUGUUACUUAAUGUCUAUGUGACUCCGUCACAAAAUUCAAACAUCCCUGUACAAUUCAGAAAACCCUACAACAGUCGCCCUCUAUCAGCACAACUGACAUCCCUGUCCAGGAGUUCACCACUCAUUCACGGCACUCUCAGAGAUUCUCCAGAGGCGCCGUGUAUUUUAAAGAGCAAAGCGGGGAAGUGUGGCCACCCAGAAAAGCAACACACUCUUAAAAUGUUUUGUAGAUAAUAGUUGUUUGUUAGUGUGUUGGUUGGACAAGAUAGUGUACUUAGCGCUUUGUUAGCGAUCCGUUUCCUGUCCUGUCCUUUCUGUUCGUGACCGCCUGAGGGAAAAGAAGUGCGCGACGUGUUAGUUUGUCGAAGAAACAAAAAGUGCGACAAGUACACACGGUGAACAUAAAGUUAAAAUUGUGUAAAAGCCUAAAAACAAGCGUAACAAACAUAAACAUUGUUAAAACACACGGAAACAAACGAGCAAUCGAAAAACAAAGAAAAAGGUCCAAGAGGGCCUUUUUCUUUCUGGUUUGUGCUGGUUCUGUCGAGCCACAAUUCCUUCAUCCCCAGGCAAUCACCAGAUCCGGACAGAAAGGUCCCUGCGUGCCUCGACUCCAUCGAUACAACACCUCGAGUCGGCACCUAACCUUACAUCCAUGGGUCAGCAUCGACACAAACAUCUCGCUGUCCCUAACGCAUGCAAAGUAGUACCGAGCACGAGUGGAAUCGUUCCGAAAACAGCGAUUCACAGUCGUGUCAACGGAUGCGGCUAUUCACAACCAUCGGAAUCCGCCAUUGGUCGUGGCGGAAAGCUAGAUCGACCGAAGCAUCGUAGCAACACAAUAAUACCGCAAGUACCCCAUGUUGUAGCACGUCAUAAAGUUAGGGCUAUCCAUUAGGAAUAAA
This is a long non-coding RNA of Uranotaenia lowii, 1002 nucleotides long. RefSeq lists it as uncharacterized. NCBI's taxonomy places the organism in Eukaryota, Metazoa, Arthropoda, Insecta, Diptera, Culicidae. The record is from RefSeq and is a predicted model, not a curated record. The transcript is spliced from 4 exons.